Molecule: ribosomal RNA, 681 nt
Filed under: Caulobacter sp. F996
Lineage: Bacteria; Pseudomonadati; Pseudomonadota; Alphaproteobacteria; Caulobacterales; Caulobacteraceae
Description: bacterial SSU rRNA
Rfam family: Bacterial small subunit ribosomal RNA
Source: RNAcentral
GGUAGUCAUAACACAUGCAAGUCGAACGGACCCUUCGGGGUUAGUGGCGGACGGGUGAGUAACACGUGGGAACGUGCCUUUAGGUUCGGAAUAAGCCCGGGAAACUGGGUCUAAUACCGAAUGUGCCCUUCGGGGGAAAGAUUUAUCGCCUUUAGAGCGGCCCGCGUCUGAUUAGCUAGUUGGUGAGGUAAAGGCUCACCAAGGCGACGAUCAGUAGCUGGUCUGAGAGGAUGAUCAGCCACACUGGGACUGAGACACGGCCCAGACUCCUACGGGAGGCAGCAGUGGGGAAUCUUGCGCAAUGGGCGAAAGCCUGACGCAGCCAUGCCGCGUGAAUGAUGAAGGUCUUAGGAUUGUAAAAUUCUUUCACCGGGGACGAUAAUGACGGUACCCGGAGAAGAAGCCCCGGCUAACUUCGUGCCAGCAGCCGCGGUAAUACGAAGGGGGCUAGCGUUGCUCGGAAUUACUGGGCGUAAAGGGCGCGUAGGCGGAUCGUUUAGUCAGAGGUGAAAUCCCAGGGCUCAACCCUGGAAUUGCCUUUGAUACUGGCGAUCUUGAGUGUGAGAGAGGUAUGUGGAACUCCGAGUGUAGAGGUGAAAUUCGUAGAUAUUCGGAAGAACACCAGUGGCGAAGGCGACAUACUGGCUCAUUACUGACGCUUAGGCCGAAAGCGUGGGGAGC